This 446-nucleotide long non-coding RNA is filed under the name Ananas comosus (pineapple). RNAcentral describes it as "long non-coding RNA (ACOM_LNC020254)". The record is from RNAcentral. Lineage: Eukaryota; Viridiplantae; Streptophyta; Magnoliopsida; Poales; Bromeliaceae.
UACAAAUUUAAUUUGUAGACCUUUUUUAAGACUUAAAAAUUUAUUUCAGCAACCUACAAUAGCAAAAAAUUUAGAAAAAAUUUCAAAUACCACUCAUGUGGUUUAGCACUUUUUUAUUUUAAUAUCCUGUGAUUUAAAGUGUAUCAAUUUAGUACCCCGUAUUUUUAUUUUUAUUUUUCUAUUAUCUCGUUCAUCAAUUUUUUUUCGUUAAAUCAGUGACAAAGUUAAAACUAAAAGAUACUAAAGUAAAUAUUCGAUAAAUCUAAGUAGGGUAUUUGAAACUUUUUGUAUAUAAUUUUACGAAAUGUGAUCAGAAGAGCCGACAAAAAGAGAAAAAUGAAACCACAUAUUACUAAAUUGAUAUACUUUAAAUCAUAGGGUACUAAAAUAAAAAAAAUGUAAAAUCAUAUGGGUAUUUGAAAUUUACCAAAAAAAUUUAUAAUUAG